This 262-nucleotide long non-coding RNA is filed under the name Ursus americanus (American black bear). RNAcentral describes it as "lncRNA (ENSUAMG00000005906.1)". Lineage: Eukaryota; Metazoa; Chordata; Mammalia; Carnivora; Ursidae. The record is from RNAcentral.
CUGAAAGGGAGAGGUUUUCUUGAGAGCUACUCCGUAAUCUUUGUCUCGGAAGAUUGACCGUCACCCCUCUUUAAGGAGGUUGUCUGAUGGACUGCCUGAUUCAGGAAGGAACAAGGCUGGUCAUUAAUAGAAGGGGAGAGAGGGAGAUGCCUCACCACUAUCCUCAGAAGCUGUGUUGAUCAGUGACUGGUGAAGGCUAAGAAAGUUGAAACAAAUUUGCAGAUGAUAUACAACUUCUAAGGUAAGCUGAUAUAACAACUCA